This 246-nucleotide ribosomal RNA is filed under the name uncultured bacterium. Its description in RNAcentral is "partial 16S ribosomal RNA". It matches the Rfam family "Bacterial small subunit ribosomal RNA", at positions 15 to 249 of the family's 1533-position model. The record is from RNAcentral.
GAUCAUGGCUCAGGAUGAACGCUAGCUACAGGCUUAACACAUGCAAGUCGGAGGGGCAUCAGUUUGGUUUGCUUGCAAACCAAAGCUGGCGACCGGCGCACGGGUGAGUAACACGUAUCCAACCUGCCUCAUACGUCGGGGAUAGCCUUUCGAAAGAAAGAUUAAUAUCCGAUAGCAUAUAUUUCCCGCAUGGGUUUUAUAUUAAAGAAAUUCGGUAUGAGAUGGGGAUGCGUUCCAUUAGUUUUG